UUCUGUUCCCGGGUGGCUUCGGACCCCUGUCGGAUCGGAAAUCCCAAGGCUGAGGUAGAUUGCAAAUGACCUGCUUUCUUUCUGUUCCUGGGUGCCUUCGGACCCCUGUCGGAUAGUAAAUCCCAAGUAAGGUACCUGCCGUCAGCAGAUUUGAGCUUUCUUCUUGGACACCUAAUACCCACAGUCCUCCAGAGGCCACCGGCAUCAGCCAGGGCCCCGGAGUUUGGGUUAAAAGUCCAGCUGCCAUGUUUUCUCUAUCUGACCCAUUGAAUGGAAAAGACUUUGUCAGAUCGGGUAGCCCCAGGGCUGGGGCUGCCAGUAGUUUUUCCUUUAACUCAUGAAAGACUUGCUUUUGUUGGGAUCCUGAUUCCGUAGGUUCCCGGUCCCCGCCCCCUUUGUGACCUCAUACAAAGGCUUGGCUAAUACUGCAAAGUUUGGGAUGCACAGCCUAUAAAACCCCGUAGCCCCUAAGAAACCCUCACCUGCUUUCUGCCCUUAGGCUCCAGUAGAUUGCAAAUGACCUGCUUACUUUCUGUUCCCGGGCUGCGUUCUGACACCUGUCGGAUAGUAAAUCCCAAGUAAGGUACCAGCCGUCGGCAGAUUUGAGCUUUCUUCUUGGACACCUAUACCCACAGUCCUCCAGGUGGGUCCUA
RNAcentral lists this long non-coding RNA (653 nucleotides) under Homo sapiens (human). Its description in RNAcentral is "HSALNT0202991". Lineage: Eukaryota; Metazoa; Chordata; Mammalia; Primates; Hominidae. The record is from RNAcentral.